This 253-nucleotide ribosomal RNA is filed under the name uncultured bacterium. RNAcentral describes it as "partial 16S ribosomal RNA". It matches the Rfam family "Bacterial small subunit ribosomal RNA", at positions 524 to 776 of the family's 1533-position model. The record is from RNAcentral.
UACGUAGGGUGCGAGCGUUAAUCGGAAUUACUGGGCGUAAAGCGUGCGCAGGCGGCUUUGCAAGACAGAUGUGAAAUCCCCGGGCUCAACCUGGGAACUGCAUUUGUGACUGCAAGGCUAGAGUACGGCAGAGGGGGAUGGAAUUCCGGGUGUAGCAGUGAAAUGCGUAGAUAUGCGGAGGAACACCAAUGGCGAAGGCAAUCCCCUGGGCCUGUACUGACGCUCAUGCACGAAAGCGUGGGGAACAAACAGG